AGUGUUAUGUAUGAGUAGGAUGUAUGUAUGUGUGUAUAAGAGAAAGAGAGUGAGAGAGAAUCGGUAGCACACAUACAACUGUAAUACACAGAGAAGAGAAAGAAGAACGGCGGACGGUGGACGACGUUGUUGGUGGACCAGCCAGCCGGCCGCGCUCGUUCGAGAAGAACCGAGUUAAGUCCAGACGAACGGAGGGGGUACAGCUAAGAGAAGAGGCGGAGAGAGGAGGAGAGACAAAGCGAAACGGAGAGAGCGCCGGUGUCGCAUUCUGACCAACAGCGGUGGGGGAUAUAGUCGAAGUGAGAAAGAAAGAGAUAAAUAGAGGGAGAUCAAAAGGAAGGGGAAAAGAGCGUUUCGGUGGGAAGCGGCUACGGUUCUCGGACGUGUAGAGGGGAUGAAAAUUAGUUACGGCAUCUACCAAGACCUAAAAGGAACUCCGUACUCCGUGCGGUCAGACCACUUCGUGCGAUGUUACGCGUCGAGGUACCCCCGUGCAUCGUCGUCGUCGUCGUCGUUGUCGUUUUUGUUGCCGUCGUUGUUGAUAGUGCCUAUAGUGUUUCACCCUCGUGAACGUACUACGUCCUAUCAUUGUGUUAAAAAAGAAACGUGUGAUUAUUCGUCGACACGCCGUCGACUCAUCGUGAACGACGUGCGAGAUAGUUGUCCGUUAGGUGCCUGUCUCGCGUCAUGGCCCGUGGCAGUAGUGAGUUACUUCCAGAAGGAACUACAGUUAAUAUGGUGCAUCGCAAACAACAACGAUCACUUCACCAUCAUCAUCAACAGCAACAACAGCAGCAGCAACAGCAACCGCAGCAACAGCAACAAUUGCAACAACAGAACGUACGGAAGUCGGUAGCCGUGAUGGGCAGCAGACGCAUAUUCGCGCCGUCCUUCAAGCUCAAGGUCCUCGAUUCUUAUAGGAAUGACAUCGAUUGUCGUGGUAAUCAACGUGCGACAGCAAGAAAGUAUGGAAUACAUCGUCGACAGAUACAAAAGUGGCUGCAGUGUGAAGACAAUUUGAGGAACAGUUGUGCUGAAACAAGUAAUUCGAUAGUGUCAACGUCAUCACCUUCAUUAUCUUCCCCCUCAUCAUCGUCGUCGUCGUCGUCGUCAUCGUCGUCGUCGUCAUUGUCGUCGUUGUCGUCGUCGUCGUCGUCGUCCUCGUCAUCGUCGUCAUUGUCGUCAUCGCCGUCGUCGUCAUCGUCGUCGUCGUCGCCGUCGUCGUCGUCGUCGUCGCCGACUUCAACGACAACGGUGAUCUCGAAGCACGAGGUGACGUUGUCGACGUCGGAAGGGGUUACGAUGCCCGGCGUGACUCCAGCGGUGCCGACGCCGGCCUUGAACCUCGGUCUCGCCAGACUGCACGGCGACGAGUCGGCCGUCCGGCCCGCCCCACCUCCUCUUCCGCCACGUUCUUCUCUGACUCGAGAUUCGCCCUCGUCACCGCGGUACGCGCAUCCGUCCUCCGAAAUCAUUUUACCAGCUACGACGACCACAACGACGAUGACGAUCGUCGGUGGAUACGUUCCACGUGAUCAACACCAACAUCCGCGAUGUCACGCAGAAAUCGAGAAUGGAGCAAUGCAGCAAGUUUCUUCGUUGAUCGAACGCGAAAGGAGCUAUUACGAUUGGAAUAACGUUGAAGAACAACGUAAGCGUGAUCUCGAAAGUACUCAUUACGAUGUCGAUAGCGAGACGAAGAUAUAUGAAACGUUGACGUCGUGUUUCCGACCAUCCCGUCGAGAUCUCCCGUACCCACCAAUCGAGGUCGGUGCAUUAACGAUUACUACUACUACUACUACUACUCUUGGUAACGCCGACUCAUCGUCGAUGGACGGAAAUGCUUACGGCAGAGCUUUAACGCCGUCAAUGAUAAAGACAGAACGAGCUAGUCCAGACUCCGUGGCGACUCCGUGCACGCGAAGUCUCCCUCUCUCUCCUCAACAGGUUCCGCGAGGAGGUGCUAACGAUUGCUGCGCUGGAAAUUCCACGUCUACCGUUCUUUUUAAUACUCGAGAAUCUUUGAAUUCGGAAAAGUUUUCCGAUACAGUUGGAAGAAGAGAUAUCUCAGCUGUUUUCGAAGAAGAAAUGAACGAAGAGGAGAAACGAAGAAGGCUAUUCUGUAGUGUUAAAGUUAAAAAGGAAGAGAUAGACGAGGAGGAAAUAGAAUCAAGAUUAAACGAGGAGGAAGAUGGCGUAUCCUCUUGCGUGGAUUCUCAUCCCGCUCGGCGUAGUUCAUUUCACGUCGACUCCAGAAGUCCCGAGGACGAUCAAGAGGGCAACUAUUCCGAGCCUGGAAGUAGUUCGGCAAGAUCAAGCAGCGGAAGUUGCUCGGAUAGUGAGAUGGACAGUCUCGUCGAAUGUUGCCCUUCGAACGAGGCCAGAACUUCCUCAAACGAUCUGGGCCGUAGGAGAUCGUUCUCUCUGCGCUUUAAACUCGACGUACUCGAUGCUUUCCAUCGGGACAUUGGUGUAGCAGGAAAUCAACGUGCCACUGCGAGGAAGUUUGGUAUAAAUCGUCGCCAGGUACAAAAGUGGCUUGGCCAGGAGAGCGAAUUAAGAGGCGAAAUUGCAUUAAGGGGUAAUGCUCGACAACGACUAGGCCCGAGCCAAGAUCAAACGGUUAUUUCCGUGGACACACCAGUCGAUCUAAGAACUACCAAUUACCUCGCUUCGUCUGCCGCCGAAGAGGAAUGCGUCGACGUUGAAUACAUUGAACGAUCUCCACCACCUCAAGUCCCGCAGAGUCAACAGUUCUAUUGCUGCGAGUUGGCUAGUUCUCCAACACAACUUUUUUCUUAUUAUAACAAUCGUUUAGUCGAUUUAUCGCCGGAGCCCACAUUAGAAUCCUCGAGGAUCUGUGGAUAUCCGUGUUGCGUGGAUACAUCAAAUUCCUCUUGUUAUCAAGAAUUACGCUCCUCCAGAGGGUCCUCCUACGCAGACUCUUUAACCGGACCAUCAUCCUACUGCUACUCAUCACCACGGGAAUACAGCGAGACCUCAGCCGAAGAAUCGCCAACGAAACGACGACGAUGUACGGCUACGUUAUCCUGCUGCUACGACGAGUUUUCUUCCUCGCCAAAGCGACUUCGACUGGAUGCAGACGAAACGCCGCCGCAGGAGACGCCACUCUGUCUGGUCAAACCGAAAAGAUUCCGCGAUGUCUCUCCGUCACUCUCCGUAGAACCAGUCACGAGUACUGUUCCAACUCCUCCGGCCCCGCAACCACCACCACCAACAUCCAACAAAAAAACUCGACGUUCCGAUGGUUCCUCCCUUCUCCUAUUGAAAAAAGAAAAGAAAAACGAACAAACAAACAAACAAACAAACAAACAAAACAAAAAACACAAAGAAGGAGAAAGAAAGAGGAUAUCUCAAAGUAGUAACAGAGAGCUUCUCGAAUUCCUCGAUCUCGUGCCGAUCGAUCUACGAGUACACAUUAGAACUACAGAUAAGUAAGAGUCAACCGGCUGCAAGUUGCACGAGCGAUGCACCAGCGAUGCAUUAUUUCCGUUAUCGCGGACGAUUGGCAGCGUGAACGAGCGACGGUCAUACACGUACUCGUUAAACUUUCUAAGCACGCCACGCUAAGCACUUGGGUACCUAUAUGUAUACGUAUAUGUAUAGCAUAUACGUACGUAAUGUAUAUACAUAAUAUACAUAAAGAAAAGCACUAACACAUAAUGCAUAUAAGCGUGAAGUAGUAAGUAUUGACGCACAAUAAAAUCCCAACGUAUCCAAGCGCGUUCUUCUUCACGUUGACGCACAUGAUAAACAAAAAAGAAAACGAAAGGAAGAAAAGUUUUUCUCAACUUUUCCUUGAAAAAGUUGACAAAAAGUAACGCAACCAAGCGAAUACAUACCAAAGGAUAGCCAAGGAAGAACCGCGAUUAGAGUGGAAUAAUUUAAGUCGUGACAUCAAAACGACCGUCACAUUCGAGCAGCAAUUUGACUGGGAAAACCUUCAGUGAACGCUCCUGCCGCUCUCGAGAGUCAUUUUCACGAUGGCGGCUAAUUAUAAAGCGCACUUGCACUCAAAGAGAUAGGGACAAGCGAGAACACGCGUUCUUGAAGGCGCAUAACGACAGAGAUGAAGAGAAAGAGAGAGAGAGAGAGAGAGAGAGGAGAGAGAAAGAUGGAGACAAAGGCACGCAUCGUGAUCCUUCCCUCGGUAUAGUAGAAAAAGCGUCGUUUGUCUCGUUUCUGUCGUUGCGAAAGGCAACGCCGAAGUUGUACGUAUAUAUUUUUAUCCUACGCUCGUGCCUUUCUUAACUUCUUUCUGCCCUUUUCCCUUCUCUCCUCUGCUCGUUUCUUUUUCAUCUUUGACUUAAUCCUUUUCUUCGAGGAAACAUCAGUCAGGAGAUACGAAAGAUUCGCUAUCGAAACUAAUAAUAUCUCGAUUAAUUUUCUUAGAAAAUCUUUUAGUGAUCUAUUUUUUUUUUCUUCUUCUUCUUUUUUUUCAGUUCGCAAAAGAAAAAUCAAAGGAUAUCGUUCCAUGAUCAAUAUAUCUGGAAUUAAAAUUCUAUUGUUAAUGGAUUAAAUAACGAUUAUAGAAAGACACAGUACAU
This is an RNA transcript of Vespa velutina, 4568 nucleotides long. It is a transcript of the gene named serine-rich adhesin for platelets-like, with no coding region annotated. NCBI's taxonomy places the organism in Eukaryota, Metazoa, Arthropoda, Insecta, Hymenoptera, Vespidae. The record is from RefSeq and is a predicted model, not a curated record. The transcript is spliced from 3 exons.